AUAUUGGUACUUAAUUGCAGCUUCCAGGACUGAGCGCCAAUCCAGAAGUCCUCAAGUCAGAAACCCCUAAGAAAAGAAAGACAGGUUUCCAAUGACAGACAAAAGAUUUCAAAAAAAGGUUUUGACACAACUUUUAGAAAUAAAAGAUGAACCGCGAAGAAUAGGGAAAAUUGUGGAACCAGAAACUGGGUUCCACAUGUCAACCUUGGGCACUGAAGAUGAGUUCGAGUACUUAGAGAGGCAGCUUGAAAGUGGGAAUACACGGGCAGCAAUGGUGACACAGUUGUGUAAAAUUGGAGGAAAAAACUUCAAAGACAGUACAAGAAGAAUGCUGGACAGUGUUUUCAAAAAUUCCCUGAUGUCUACAUUCAACAUGAAAGGAGGAGGUCCACUACAGAAGAAGUCCUUUUAAUCAACUGCCUUAUUCUCAGUCAUCUGAGACGCAGUGAUGACCAGCUUUCCAUCAGCUACGGAAUGUGAAAUAAAAAAUGCUAUUUCUAAUCAUUUCAAACAAGCACCAGGGAGGGCAGGGGGUGGGGGUUAUGGAUCUAAAGUAAACAGUUAAUUCUUAAAAAUUGUAAUAUCUUAAUUUGUUUUACAUAUUUUUCCAAUGUUUUAUUUGUUCAUUUUUAUGUUUAAAUGUUGUCCAAGUUGUUGUUGUCUAUAUAAUUGUUCAAAAUAAAUCCCUUUAUAUUCAA
Long non-coding RNA from Carassius carassius (crucian carp), 698 nucleotides. RefSeq lists it as uncharacterized. The transcript is spliced from 6 exons. The record is from RefSeq and is a predicted model, not a curated record. Lineage: Eukaryota; Metazoa; Chordata; Actinopteri; Cypriniformes; Cyprinidae.